Molecule: transfer RNA, 77 nt
Filed under: Lactobacillales bacterium
Lineage: Bacteria; Bacillati; Bacillota; Bacilli; Lactobacillales
Description: tRNA-Val
Rfam family: tRNA
About the family: Transfer RNA (tRNA) molecules are approximately 80 nucleotides in length. Their secondary structure includes four short double-helical elements and three loops (D, anti-codon, and T loops).
Source: RNAcentral
GGGCGUGUAGCUCAGUUGGGUGGAGUAUUACGUUGACAUCGUAAGGGUCACAAGUUCGAGUCUUGUCACGCCCACCA